RNAcentral lists this ribosomal RNA (181 nucleotides) under uncultured bacterium. RNAcentral describes it as "partial 16S ribosomal RNA". It matches the Rfam family "Bacterial small subunit ribosomal RNA", at positions 1320 to 1500 of the family's 1533-position model. The record is from RNAcentral.
AUGAAGCCGGAAUUGCUAGUAAUCGCGGAUCAGCAUGCCGCGGUGAAUACGUUCCCGGGCCUUGUACACACCGCCCGUCACACCAUGGGAGUCGGUAACACCCGAAGCCAGUAGCCCAACCGCAAGGAGGACGCUGUCGAAGGUGGGAUUGAUAACUGGGGUGAAGUCGUAACAAGGUACC